UGCAAGUCGAACGAACUUAACCAUUAGUUUACUAUUGGAGCGGUUAGUGGCGGACUGGUGAGUAACACGUAAGCAACCUGCCUAUCAGAGGGGAACAACAGUUAGAAAUGACUGCUAAUACCGCAUAUGCCUUGAGUAUCACAUGGUACAAAAGGGAAAGGAGCAAUCCGCUGAUAGAUGGGCUUGCGUCUGAUUAGAUAGUUGGUGAGGUAACGGCCCACCAAGUCGACGAUCAGUAGCCGGACUGAGAGGUUGAACGGCCACAUUGGGACUGAGAUACGGCCCAGACUCCUACGGGAGGCAGCAGUCGGGAAUAUUGCGCAAUGGAGGAAACUCUGACGCAGUGACGCCGCGUGCAGGAAGAAGGUUUUCGGAUUGUAAACUGCUUUAGACAGGGAAGAAACAAGACAGUACCUGUAGAAUAAGCUCCGGCUAACUACGUGCCAGCAGCCGCGGUAAUACGUAGGGAGCAAGCGUUAUCCGGAUUUAUUGGGUGUAAAGGGUGCGUAGACGGGAAAUUAAGUUAGUUGUGAAAUCCCUCGGCUUAACUGAGGAACUGCAACUAAAACUGGUUUUCUUGAGUGCUGGAGAGGAAAGUGGAAUUCCUAGUGUAGCGGUGAAAUGCGUAGAUAUUAGGAGGAACACCAGUGGCGAAGGCGACUUUCUGGACAGUAACUGACGUUGAGGCACGAAAGUGUGGGGAGCAAACAGGAUUAGAUACCCUG
This 725-nucleotide ribosomal RNA is filed under the name uncultured bacterium. Its description in RNAcentral is "bacterial SSU rRNA". It matches the Rfam family "Bacterial small subunit ribosomal RNA", at positions 56 to 789 of the family's 1533-position model. The record is from RNAcentral.